Molecule: long non-coding RNA, 1163 nt
Filed under: Olea europaea (common olive)
Lineage: Eukaryota; Viridiplantae; Streptophyta; Magnoliopsida; Lamiales; Oleaceae
Description: long non-coding RNA (OEUR_LNC013183)
Source: RNAcentral
AGACUCUCAAAACAAGUUCUCAAGUUUUAAAAGUAACAAUUAAGUUUAAUAAUGGCGAUUAACGUUAACAACAUCUAUAAGUAAUAUUACGACAGGUAAAGUAAUAAGUCUUGAUGUACAUGAUUGAGCAUGAAUAUCUACAGUUCACAGAAAUUUGAAAUAGAAUUUACGAAUUCACUCAAUUGCUAGUGAAGUACUAGUUUACUGUACUCGGCAGUCUUGAUUAAAAAAAUAUGACCAUAAAUCUUCUCAAUGAUUUACAAUUGAAGCUAUGUAAAUGUUGGAUAGAAUUUCCUCAAGGAAUUUAUGUAAGGAAGCUUAAGCUCUAAUCAAGUUAUAAGGAUACGAAAGUCAACCUAAGCUCAAUUUGGUUACAAACAUCGAUUUCUGCUCGUGCUUAAUUAAAUUUCAUCCUUAAAACACAACAUUUAACGCACUUUUCAUAUACAACACUUUGUUUGGAAUCAACAAAACUGGAUUCAUUUACAGGAUUUAAAUCCCCGUAAUACACUCUACAAACAGUUCCAUUCAAUAGAUUCUUCGACUGGAUGCUGGAAACUGCUAUACUCAAUAGCAGAACAAUGAACUAAGCAGUUAUGGUGGGAAUUGUACCAUAUCCAAGUCGGACGCCUUGUUGAUUUGAAGUUGGAAGCAGUUGGUCCUUGCAUCUAUUACUUAGACAUCUUCUAAAUUCUCAUUUGAAGGAACUUGGGAAUUUACAUUCAAACAAUUUGUGUUAGAUGUCGAAAUAUCUUAUCUCUUGUUGCCCAUAUAAUGUGUGUGAAUCUAGCCGAUGAUGUUACGGAAGACUAAAUGGGUUUGAAAUUGUAAUGACAAAUUGUCUGUCAUGGUUUAACCUCAACUGGUUACUACACUCUUAUCUUAAUCAUUUACAACACCGUUAGAGGAAAUAUAUAAAAUUAGUUGAGUAAAUUCUUUAAGAUUUCACCCACUCUUUAUAAUGUGAAUUUGCUGUGGGCUUUGUCUGCCUUAUGUGUCAAGAGCUCAGUCGAAUAAUGGUUGAUGCUGAUCCAAGUUGUUUUUGUAUCAACUGUAUUGAUUAGCCUUACAUAGGUGAUCUAACAUAUUCUUUAAGGGAUUAUUGAUAUGAUUAGCCAUAUAUGGUUGAUGCAACAUAUUUUUGAACCUUUGUUACAUUUGCA